RNAcentral lists this ribosomal RNA (468 nucleotides) under uncultured bacterium. RNAcentral describes it as "partial 16S ribosomal RNA". It matches the Rfam family "Bacterial small subunit ribosomal RNA", at positions 28 to 507 of the family's 1533-position model. The record is from RNAcentral.
GACGAACGCUGGCGGCGUGCUUAACACAUGCAAGUCGAACGGAAAGGCCCUGCUUUUGUGGGGUGCUCGAGUGGCGAACGGGUGAGUAACACGUGAGUAACCUGCCCUUGACUUUGGGAUAACUUCAGGAAACUGGGGCGAAUAUCGGAUAGGAGCUUCUGCUGCAUGGGGGGGGUUGGAAAGAUUCGGCGGUUGGGGAUGGACUGGAGGGUUAUCAGCUUGUUGGGGGGGUAGUUGCUUACCAAGGCUUUGACGGGUAGCCGGCCUGGGAGGGUGGCCAGCCACCUUGGGCCUGCGAUACGGCCCAGACUCCUACGGGCGGCAGAAGUGGGGAAUAUUGCGCAAUGGGCGGAAGCCUGAUGCAGCAACCCCGCGUGCGUGAUGACGGCCUUCGGGUUGUAAACCGCUUUCGCCUGUGACGAGGCCUGCGUGACGGUAAUGGGUAAAGAAGCACCGGCUAACUACGUG